UCACGAAAGUGGGCUGUACUAGAAGUCACCGCGCUAACCCGCCGCAAGGCGGGAGGCAGGUGCCCAAGGUAUGGCUCAUGAUUGGGGUG
This 89-nucleotide ribosomal RNA is filed under the name uncultured bacterium. Its description in RNAcentral is "partial 16S ribosomal RNA". The record is from RNAcentral.